ACCUGUGUGUAUAUUUAAAAAAAUAUAUAUUUAUAUUGUUUUACUUAGACUUUUCACGACUUCCGCCGAAAUCGGUCCCUCUCCUUCUUGGGGCGGCGUUCGGCGGUCGACGUUACCGGUCUUCUAGCCAUCGCCACUCCACCUUUCAUUUUCCAUUUGUUUUGUCUUGUUUUCCUGCACACCUGCUUCACAUUCCCUCAUCAGACUAAAUGUUUAUUACCUUUUGUUUCCCUCAUGUCUGUGUGUGGAAUUGUUCUUUGUGUAGGGUGUUUACGCUACAGGCUGGCUUGCGCUAGGUUUGUUUCUAACCUAGGUUUGUUUCGUUUUAUCCGGUUCAUGUUACUGUGGUUGUGCUUUGUGCUUCCUCGCCUGUGCCUUUGGGCCAGGGUGUAUAUUAAAGCUCUCCUGUUAUCACCCAUCUCUGCUCUCCUGCGCCUGACUUCCCGGCAACCAGUCACUCACCCCGUUACAAGCCUAGAUAAUUGUUUGUACAGUAUGUCGACUUUGGUGUCUAUUUCAGACCUUAAGGCAUUUUUAAGGAUGAGCAUAAGAGGAGACCACUAGAAGUCUGGCCAUGUGGAGAAGUGCAGCUAUAGUGAGGAGCAACUUACCGGUUUGGUCAGGCCCAGCAUGAGGGAUAAAGUUUAUCCUUUGUUGAAGGCUGGAUCGGAAACCCAGUUACGACACUCGGGUCUGUAGCUGCCAUUUUCCUGACGGGAAAGAGAAAGGGCCCUGUAUUUACCAGUAGGAGAGAACGAUCCAGAACUGUUGAUUGGGGAAACAAGAACAAACAAUGAGGCAUGACGAUUGGGUGUUCAGGGAUACAACUUGUCACAUUGUCCGUGUCCCAACAGGAGUGGAUCCUUCAGACCAUCCGGGACAUCCUGUUCCAGUGGGAUGUGAGCGUCCAGCUGCAGAGACUACAGCACAUCGAGUCUGUGGACGGACAGCUCAGUAACACGUCAAAUAUGAUACAAUAGUGUGUAAAACAUUGAAUUUGUAGAUGCAUCGAAAUUUUGAUUGUAUGUCUUUGAUUUUAUUUUAUUUACUUCCUAGAUAUAGAAAUCCUUUGACUUCACUGCCUCUACAAUGGUACAGUAAGGGCCCGUGCACCAUAUGGACCCUUGACCUCCAGCACUGCUGUGGUGCCCACCAGACCAUCCAGUGAGGCACCUAGGAUCCCAGACCUUAUGACCCAAAGCCCUGACUCCUGCACAUCCAUCCUUGUAGACAUUUUGAAUGCCUUGAUGCACUCCUCUUUGUUAACUGUGCCCCACUUUACAGACAUCACCCCAUCCAACAACUGUGAUCUGAGGACUCUUUUUAUUUAUUUUAUUUUUUAAUCAGCGACGAAGUAACGCACUUAGCCCUAACCACUGUCCCAUAAUUGCUGGCCGUCAACUUUCCUCUCCUCAUGAUGUGCCAGUUGAGGUUGGUGUGCUGUCCAACUGUUGCCUGCCGUAUAGUCUCCUGCUGCUCCACCGACAGAGUCAUGCCAGCCAGGAUGCCUGCAUGCCCCAGAGAGGGCAGCGGUUGUUCUGGCUCAGGUUUAAGGAGACAUGCUAUUCCACUGAACCGGUUCCUUAGUCACUGAAGAACCUCCUCUGUGGGCUCUCGGGACAGUGGGUUUUAGUCUUCAGCCAGGUACAGAUCCUCCACUGACUGCGCCUCGUUGGGCACGGCUGGCUUCCUUCACUCGCAUUCCAUAUCCGUACGGACAAUAUCGGUAAACACCAAAAUAGGCUUCAUGGCUACACGGAUGAGCUCGAUGGAGGCAUUCCCAUGUGGUAGAGAGAAUCCCCUGGUCACCUAUAGAGACCUGACAACAGGAAGUGGUCAACUAUAGAGACCUGUCAACAGGAAGUGGUCACCUCUAGAGACCUGCCAACAGGAAGGAGGUUAAGAGCUACAUGUGGUAGAAAUAAUCCCCUGUUCACCUAUAGAGACCUGACAACAGGAAGUGGUCAACUAUAGAGACCUGUCAACAGGAAGUGGUCACCUCUAGAGACAUGCCUACAGGAAGGAUGUUAAGUGCUACAUGCCUUUCAGUGCACGACUUUAAACAACUUGAAAUUAAUUUGUUGUAAAAAAUGUGCUAUAUAAAUAAAGUUUCAUUUGAUUGAUGACAUUACAUCUGUAGAAUGUGUCCACUGUGGCGGACUACAGACAACAUGGACAGUAUAUGAAUAGAAAAGGUGUGUACAGCAGUAGAAUAAUGUAAACAUAUUUUACAAUCCAGGUGUGCAAAGCUCAGACUUACCCAGAAAGACUCACAGCUGUAAUCACUGCCAAAGGUGAUUCUAACAUGUAUUGACUCAGGGGUGUGAAUUCUUAUGUAAAUUAGUUAUUUCUG
Long non-coding RNA from Oncorhynchus nerka (sockeye salmon), 2353 nucleotides. RefSeq lists it as uncharacterized. The transcript is spliced from 3 exons. The record is from RefSeq and is a predicted model, not a curated record. Lineage: Eukaryota; Metazoa; Chordata; Actinopteri; Salmoniformes; Salmonidae.